GGGCCAAAAGGUGUGGGGGGGAUGGGGAACCAGCAGAGACUCACGACACAACGUCAUGACCAGGAGCAAUGGGGUCUGAAGCUCUCUUGCUUUGCCCAUGUUGUGGGGCGGGGACGUCAGUCAGGACCUGAGAAGAGCUAAAACCUGUUUGCAUGCUGUCCACCACAGGUAAAAAAAACCACAAAACAAGGCAGAAAACCCAUCCAAAUCCUCACCUGGUACCAGCAGUGUCCUGACGUCAGCCGGAGCUUGGCCCUGCGCCGGUGCCUGUCCUUGCGGGAGAGCUGGUGGCUGCAGAGGGGGACCAGCGUUGGGAGGCAGAGCCGCUCCACUUUCUCCUUCCUCCCCAUCCUUCCCAGCCCCCUUCUUUACAGGGUUAAUUUUAUUUUUUCCUCCAGGGGUUUACGAACAGCUAGCUGAAACGCGCAGGCCAGCUGCCUGCCGGUGGCAGCAGGAAAACAGGCAGACAAAGCAGAUGGACCCAGCAGGGGUGAAGGAGCACUGUCUUCAGCGGGCCAUAGGCACCACUAAAGAGUAAACAUCUCUCCAAAGGGAGCCGGGAGCUAACCCCAAACCCUGUCCCCUCCAACGUACUCAAUCACAGCACAUUAACAAGAGCGCCUGGACUGCUGGGGAGAGUAAACAAUAAGAGGCCUUGCUGGCAGGAGAGUGGGAAAAGCAGUGACCCCCUCCAGCUAAUAUUUAUUGUAAAAGGGUGUAAAAAGUGGCUUGUGGCUCAGCGUGUUGUCAGCGGGCUGUGGACUGUGUCACUGCUCAUCUGCUUUCUGGGCAACCGCCCUUUCCCUUCCAGGGCAAGCGUGUGCACAGACAUCUGAGAGACCCACAGGGAAGAAGGAACAAAGGAAAUCUAGAAGCUGGAGGUGAAAGCACAACCCUCUCCCCCUGGACCAGCUGUGGCUUAGUGGAUGCAACGUUGGUUCCCAAACCCAGGAGUGCUGUGGUCUUGUGGCUUCCUCAACUCUGGAAGAGUGGUCAGCCAGAAACAGAACAAUACUCAUGACCACAGGUGUGAAAAAGCAAGGGGCAACUGUGGAGAAGACUGCUCCCUGCAAGCCUUGAAAGACAGUGGAGGAGGAGGACUUCCAGAGGAGGACUUGGUGGAUCUGCUCUUACAUUACUCCUACAGCCAUAACUGCAUAGCUCCACAGUUGAGACCUAUUUGCACCUCAGUGUGACUAUACAUGAUUUUCAUUUUGUCUUGAGUCUGGAGCAUCUUACCUGUCCCGUUGACCAGGGAGAUGCACGUGCAGGGUGGAAACUUGCAUAUUGUCCUCUAGAGAGUGUGUCCCACAAGUCAUGUAGCAGACCAAGCCUGGGCCCAGCCUCAGGCAGGGCGAUGGUGUAGAUAUGUGUCUCCUUAUAGGCAUGUGCAUGUGUCCAAUUGUAACUGUGCAAUGGUUCAUUUUUUAAAGCAGAUCCCACUUUGUGUCCCCUUCAACAUCACCAGUACAGCUCUAGACAUAGCUCUGAACAAUCUGUUAUUCUAAAAAAUUAGUUAGAUAAAAUUAGUGAAAAUAAGGUGGUUUCUUGUAAUUCUUUAGUGCUGUUCCCUAAACAUUUUUAAUCUAAUUUUCUUUGUCUUCUCCCGAGUUCAUUUUUGCCCCUGUCAUACUAGUUAGGGUGACUAGUCUUGUGGUUGUGAUCUUUUAAGCCUCAAAAUGCCCAUAAAUUUGGGGGCUGUGUUGUCGUGGUGCUUUGCACCACUUUGUGCUUUCCUGGCAUAGACAAUCCAGGUUGCCUUUUGCUGGGAUUUGUUAGUGCUUUAGUGAUAGUAGAUGCCAAGAAUGUGCAUCUACUCUGUUCAAAACCUUUAAGACCACAGGAGUCAUGAUGACAACCAAACCUGGCCUGCCCCUCAGAGAUCCUGUCUCUACUUGCAGAAAGUAGCUAGAGCAGGAAAACAUUGUCCUACAUUAUCAGUGCCCUAUAGAUCUCUCCCUCUUCUCCCAGCCUUCCCUCCCAUGCACGGUGACACAUCCACAAGGAGUGACAGCCUCCUCAACACUACCCCUUCAGCCAGGUGAAGGUUUGCCCAAACCAUGAUGGUGCUGUGCCUUCAGAGUGACAGAACAUUUAUUUAUAGGUAAUGGCAUUUUUGACCUUCCUCAUCUACUUACUGCUCUUCUAAGUCUGCUUUGAUCUCAUUACAUAAGGAAGUAAGAGCCUUAGAGGGAGAAUCUGUGCCCAAGCAGGCCAGCUCAGAUAAAGCUCUAAGCACUGCAGGGUGAAAAAACCCCAGUAUCUGGUUACUGGCUACAUGGGAAUCAACAGGAGUGAAGAUGUGACCUGGCAGCCAAGUGACAUAAAGACUCAGAAGGAGGCUGAUACCUCCCUCUGCUUCCCUUUGGUUUAACCAGAUGUUUUCCAAUUCAUCUGGGUAAAGAAAAGUAAUAACAAGAAUCAGCCACUGACUCCUGGGCUUUUCCCAGAAUGAGGAUUCGUACUUGUCCUGGUGAAACAUCAGAGAGGAGGUGACCUCUUGGUUUCUGAUUCUAUAGGGAACUGCUGAUGGCUGAUUUGGCUCAUGGCAAAAUCUGCAGCAAGUCUAACAUUUGCUUUGCAUUCACAGGAGGAAUGGCAGCUCUGCUUUGGCCAGGCUCCUUCCCACUCCCAACGUGCCCCAAAAGAGGAGACCAUCCGUGCCCACAUCACCAGCAGAGUUGGAGGGAUGUGUUGGGAAUGCAAGGAAGAGAUGUAGAGAUGUUUGUGCUGUGCGUGGUAUAGACCUGAGCGCUCUGGGAAGAGUUUGGGGUUAUCUGCUCACAGCUACAUGGGACAUUCCCCUGUCAUUUGGGCUGUGGGUGUUUCUGCUUGAGUGUAAGCAGAAGUCCCAGUACUACCAUUUGAGCUCUUCUUUCAGAGACAGAGAAGGAUUCAUAGUCUCAGAGCAUUGGGCAUAUUCCAGAUGGGUGCAGCAAAUAUCCCUCUCCUGCAUAAUUCCCCAAAGUCAUGUUUUUGGGUUUUUUUUUUCCUCUAUCUCUGCAGGAUUUCCGGUGGAACUAGGGCCUCCAGUCUUAAAUUUAGCCUCUCAGCAACACUCAGGAAGAACAGAAGCAUUUAAUCUCCCAUCCAGCAUCCAGGCUGAUGCUCCUCUUUUUAUUGUCUACGUAUAUCCGUAAUUAUUAACUUACAGCAACAUUUCAUUGGCCAAUAAAUGUUAGUUAUGGUAUAUUUGGUAGCUUUAUGAAAUGUAAUUAGUGCUGGAAUAGUAUGAGAUACUCAGGAGCUCCAGUACUGGUAGAUGAACCUUUUAUCAGCUGUGGGCAUUUAAUUCACUUUAACAGAAAAGUCAUAAACAAAUAACAGUAUUGCAUCCUCGGACUGGCCUAGUUUCAUCUCGUUUGCCUGCCUGGCUGCUGUGUUUCUAGGGUUUCCUGAUAUGGUCUUUAGCUCCUGCAGGCUUGUGGUAAAUUGAUCAUUGUUAGUUCUAAGAUUCAAAUUUACCUUUAUACCAUCCACAGAGCAUUUAUUACUGCUUAUCAUAUUUCACUGGAACCUAGGAACCUCCACCAGUUUUAGAGGUUCUUGCUCAAGACUCGAAGUGCAGAACAGAAAAAAAUAAAAUAUAUACCAUUUGGAUAAAACCAAAUUAUGUUUUCCUUCAGAUUAUCUGGACAAAAUAAAUAACCCUAAAUGCCAUUUUACGUGAAUCAAAACAUUCCAUUCAACCUGGAGGAAUGCAUUUUGUUUGAACAUUUGUCCAGAAAAUAAAGGGCUCAAAGACCAACA
Molecule: long non-coding RNA, 3750 nt
Organism: Columba livia (rock pigeon)
Lineage: Eukaryota; Metazoa; Chordata; Aves; Columbiformes; Columbidae
Exons: 2
Source: RefSeq, a predicted model, not a curated record